GACGAACGCUGGCGGCGUGCUUAUCACAUGCAAGUCGAACGGAAAGGCCCUGCUUUUGUGGGGUGCUCGAGUGGCGAACGGGUGAGUAACACGUGAGUAACCUGCCCUUGACUUUGGGAUAACUUCAGGAAACUGGGGCUAAUACCGGAUAGGAGCUCCUGCUGCAUGGUGGGGGUUGGAAAGUUUCGGCGGUUGGGGGUGGACUCGCGGCUUAUCAGCUUGUUGGUGGGGUAGUGGCUUACCAAGGCUUUGACGGGUAGCCGGCCUGAGAGGGUGACCGGCCACAUUGGGACUGAGAUACGGCCCAGACUCCUACGGGAGGCAGCAGUGGGGAAUAUUGCACAAUGGGCGGAAGCCUGAUGCAGCAACGCCGCGUGCGGGAUGACGGCCUUCGGGCUGUAAACCGCUUUCGCCUGUGACGAAGCGUGAGUGACGGUAAUGGGUAAAGAAGCACCGGCUAACUACGUG
This 468-nucleotide ribosomal RNA is filed under the name uncultured bacterium. Its description in RNAcentral is "partial 16S ribosomal RNA". It matches the Rfam family "Bacterial small subunit ribosomal RNA", at positions 28 to 507 of the family's 1533-position model. The record is from RNAcentral.